This 321-nucleotide RNase P RNA is filed under the name Flavobacterium columnare. RNAcentral describes it as "RNase P RNA component class A". It matches the Rfam family "Bacterial RNase P class A". Rfam says of the family: Ribonuclease P (RNase P) is a ubiquitous endoribonuclease, found in archaea, bacteria and eukarya as well as chloroplasts and mitochondria. Its best characterised activity is the generation of mature 5'-ends of tRNAs by cleaving the 5'-leader elements of precursor-tRNAs. Cellular RNase Ps are ribonucleoproteins. Lineage: Bacteria; Pseudomonadati; Bacteroidota; Flavobacteriia; Flavobacteriales; Flavobacteriaceae. RNAcentral also lists the same sequence under 1 other name. The record is from RNAcentral.
AGCGCAGGUCGCCUUAUCGCUUUCUAAACGUAAGUUUAAAAGAGGAAAGUCCGGACACCAAAGAGCAAGCAUAGCGGGUAACGCCCGUCACUUUGAAGUAAUUCAAGGGAGGACAAGUGCAACAGAAAGGAUGUACAGGUAAUGCUGUAGUGAAAUCAGGUAAACUCUAUGCGGUGAAAUGCCAUGUAUAUCAGUAGUUAAGGGUUGCUCGCCCGUUGCUGAGGGGUAGGCAGAUAGAUCAUAUUAGUAAUAAUUUGGCUAGAUAAAUGAUAAGGGCAUAUUUUUUAUGUACAGAAUCCGGCUUACAGAUCUGCUUUUUUU